UUUCUAAUGUCAUUUAUUGCUGGAUGAAAAAAAUCGCCAAGAGCAUUUUUUCAGAAGCACCUAAUGGUGACUCUUUCGGGAACUGGGUGGAUCCUUUUUCUGCAUGUCACCUGACCAAAGAACCAUAUAUUAUAUAGAUGUGAAGUUAUGGUUCUGCACUACUUACCUGGAUAAGCCCUCUGGAGAAACAGCAGGAAAAUACCUGUGGCUUGAAAAGUCAUUUAAAGACAUCAAACCUCUGGAUUAUCUUCAACCCCCCAAAGAACCAUGGCUUUGCAAAAACAGUGUAUUGCCCUGGAUGGAAACAGUCUCACUACAGAAGACCUGAUUAGCUUGGGAAAGGGGCUCCUCAGGAUAAAGUUGACCCCAGAGGCAGAGGAAGGAGUGAAGCGGGCUAGAGAAAUUGUUGAUAAUAUCAUUGCACAAGACAAAGG
Molecule: long non-coding RNA, 434 nt
Organism: Anguilla rostrata (American eel)
Lineage: Eukaryota; Metazoa; Chordata; Actinopteri; Anguilliformes; Anguillidae
Exons: 4
Source: RefSeq, a predicted model, not a curated record